AAUUUAUUGUGUGGACAUUUUGAAAAACCAUUUUCAAGCGUUCCCACACCUCAUAGAAGCUUUCUCCUUCCAUCUAUCUAAAGACAACAAUCUCUCUCUUUAAUU
Molecule: small nucleolar RNA, 105 nt
Filed under: Gossypium hirsutum (cotton)
Lineage: Eukaryota; Viridiplantae; Streptophyta; Magnoliopsida; Malvales; Malvaceae
Description: Plant small nucleolar RNA R71
Rfam family: Plant small nucleolar RNA R71
About the family: R71 is a member of the C/D box family of snoRNAs containing the C (UGAUGA) and D (CUGA) box motifs.
Source: Rfam by way of RNAcentral